AUGCAAUGGAGCUGGGUCAUCCUCUUGCUUGUAGAAGAAGCUACAGAUAAGGGUGUCCACUCCCAGGUCCAGCUGCAUCAGUCUGGGGCUGAGCUGGGGGUGUCUGGGGCCUCAGUGAAGCUCUCCUACAGGGCAUCUAGCUACACUUUCACUAGCUACACUAUGUGCUGUGUGAACCAGAGGCCUGGAAAUGGUCUGGAGAGGAUUGGAUGGUUUUAUCCUGGAAAUGGUAAUACUAAGUACAAUCAGAAGUUCCAGGGCAAGGACAAAAUGACUGAAGACACAUCCUCUAGCACAGCCUACAUGGAGCUCAGCAGCCUGACAUCUGAGGACUCUGCCAUCUAUUACUGGGUGAGACACAGUGUUAUAACCAUAUCCUCAGUGUUCAGAAAUUCUGGAGGAGCAGGAAGCUGCCUUGAGACCAUGAUGACAGAGAAGAUUAGCCUGGAGACUUGCUCAGAAAUAAUCAUUCUGAGUGUCCAUUUGUCUAUCACUUCAGAGUCCGUUCAUGUCUUUAUCGACUUUUCAAAAGGACAUUAA
This is a non-coding RNA of Onychomys torridus (southern grasshopper mouse), 540 nucleotides long. Lineage: Eukaryota; Metazoa; Chordata; Mammalia; Rodentia; Cricetidae. The record is from the annotation of a RefSeq genome assembly.